This 76-nucleotide transfer RNA is filed under the name Mycolicibacterium helvum. RNAcentral's name for it is "tRNA-Cys". The record is from RNAcentral. Lineage: Bacteria; Bacillati; Actinomycetota; Actinomycetes; Mycobacteriales; Mycobacteriaceae.
CCGAGGUGUAGAUCAGGGUCGCCGGGUCGGCCGAUCGCAGCUCGGCCAGCCGGCGGUUCAGCUCUGCGGGGUCGGC